UGCGGGGUCGUCUAAUGGCAGGACAGCUGACUCUGGAUCAGCCGGUCUAGGUUCGAGUCCUAGCCCCGCAGCCU
RNAcentral lists this transfer RNA (74 nucleotides) under Chloroflexota bacterium. RNAcentral describes it as "Chloroflexi bacterium (bioreactor metagenome) tRNA-Gln". It matches the Rfam family "tRNA". From Rfam's summary of the family: Transfer RNA (tRNA) molecules are approximately 80 nucleotides in length. Their secondary structure includes four short double-helical elements and three loops (D, anti-codon, and T loops). Lineage: Bacteria; Bacillati; Chloroflexota. The record is from RNAcentral.